RNAcentral lists this long non-coding RNA (794 nucleotides) under Homo sapiens (human). RNAcentral's name for it is "HSALNT0134086". Lineage: Eukaryota; Metazoa; Chordata; Mammalia; Primates; Hominidae. The record is from RNAcentral.
CAUCCUUCUAGGCAUCUGUGUGUUUGCUAGAGGGGAAGAAAUAGUGUUUCCAGCCUGGGGUCAGAGGCUGGUGGUAGCCAGGAGAGGUGGUGGCAGGAACUGCCCCAAUUCCAGGCUAGAGAUGAACCAGCUGUGAUGGGGAUGGGGACUCUUCCGGAGCAGGAACAGUCAGGGCCUGGUCCUAUCCUGCCCGGGCAUGGACACGUCAGAGGCUUUAUCGUAAAUUGGGGAAAGCUUCAUGACACUACCUCCCACCCUGGCCUACUCCUGUUCUCACAUGGGGCUGUGAAAAUGACCAAUUUUUAAAAAUAUUAGAGAUGGAGUUGAUGGAAAUAUUCAAGCCAAAAGAAUGGUGACACCUCAACAGCUGACGUGCUGGGAGAAGGCUCCAGGGCCAGGGGCUCUCCUGGCCUCUGCGGAUGUCUGACUGGGCCACAGCCUACCUCCUACGCCCAGGUCUGGCCUCAACUUCUUGGUAACUAUAGCCAACCAGAAAUACCACCCAUAUUUUUCUCUGUGAUGGGGCUGCCUUGGGGAUGCCGAAGAGCAGUUUCUGAGCAGGGACACGACAUUUCUGUUGCUUUGUGGCUGACCUGGUCGGCACCUCAGGGUCUGAGAUACAGAUUCCAGUCACAAGCUGGUGGGCCAUUUAUACAAUCUGGUGGGGUAUAGCGCAGCAUUAUACACCAAGCCCCUAAACCUGGGUGAAGCAGAUCAUAUGUGAAAUGCACUGCAGAGGAACCCAGAUCAAACUGCCCUGAGGCCUAAGAGGGAAGCGCUCAGAAAAGGAGGGG